Molecule: ribosomal RNA, 207 nt
Filed under: uncultured Bacteroidales bacterium
Lineage: Bacteria; Pseudomonadati; Bacteroidota; Bacteroidia; Bacteroidales
Description: partial 16S ribosomal RNA
Rfam family: Bacterial small subunit ribosomal RNA
Source: RNAcentral
UGCGUAGGCGGCUCUAUAAGUCAGUAGUGAAAUCUCGAAGCUCAACUUCGAACGUGCUAUUGAAACUGUAGAGCUUGAGUACAGACGAGGCAGGCGGAAUGUGUUGUGUAGCGGUGAAAUGCUUAGAUAUAACACAGAACACCGAUAGCGAAGGCAGCUUGCCAGACUGUAACUGACGCUGAGGCACGAAAGCGUGGGGAGCGAACA